GACGAACGCUGGCGGCGUGCUUAACACAUGCAAGUCGAACGGAAAGGCCCUGAUUUUGUGGGGUGCUCGAGUGGCGAACGGGGGAGUAACACGUGAGUAACCUGCCCUUUACUUUGGGGUAACUUCAGGAAACUGGGGCUAAUACCGGAUAGGAGCUCCUGCUGCAUGGUGGGGGUUGGAAAGUUUCGGCGGUUGGGGAUGGCCUCGCGGCUCAUCAGCUUGGUGGUGGGGUAGUGGCUUACCAAGGCUUUGACGGGUAGCCGGCCUGAGAGGGUGCCCGGCCACAUUGGGACUGAGAUCCGGCCCAGACUGCUACGGGAGGCAGCAGUGGGGAGUAUUGCACAAUGGGCGGAAGCCUGAUGCAGCAACGCCGCGUGCGGGAUGACGGCCUUCGGGUUGUAAACCGCUUUAGCCUGUGACGAAGCGUGGGUGACGGUAAUGGGUAAAGAAGCACCGGCUAACUACGUG
RNAcentral lists this ribosomal RNA (468 nucleotides) under uncultured bacterium. Its description in RNAcentral is "partial 16S ribosomal RNA". It matches the Rfam family "Bacterial small subunit ribosomal RNA", at positions 28 to 507 of the family's 1533-position model. The record is from RNAcentral.